AUGCACUCUUCAAUAAUAAAAGUUGGUUCGCGGCUGGAGGCCUGUGCCCUUGAUGAGACACUGUUUACCUGUCCGCUUUGUCCAAAGUUAAAGACAUCUGCCAAAAAGAUGAAUGGACACAUGGAAGGCCACAUAAACAUGGCAGUACAUUUUAAAGAUAAAAUUCUUUGCAGAUGUAACCUGCCAUGCAGACGCUUGCCACAUUACCACUGCCCGUACUGUUUAAGGACCAUCAUAAAAAUGAAAGAUGCAGAAAUUCAUGUAAAGGCCUGUUACUCCAAGACCACUUCACUUUCACCAUCAAUUGGGCUGUUACCUUUAUCCCAGCCACCAGUCAUGACACAAAUAAUGUUGUUACAAGACCAUAAUUACGCCCUGGAAAAGGAACAUUGUAUGCCCACUGCAGACACACUGCUGUCGCCAACCGUGCCCGAUGCCGUGACCCUGGAGCCGCCGGCCGUGACCCUGGAGCCGCCGUCUGUGCCUGAUGCAGAGAUGCUCACACCGUCGCGUUCUGUAGCUAUAGAUCCUGAGUGCCCACAGUCCCUGGUUUCGCAGAAUGUUUUCCCCGUGAUGCAAGACCACGACUACUUGCAAAACUCUACAUUGAUGUCUGAAAACAGUUCAGUUUCCCCUGAAGCACUGGAUUUACGAUCAUCACGUGUGAAAUACUUGAAGGUGGUUAAGUGCCCACACUGUGCACUUGUACUCUAUAAGAAGAACUUGGCCACACACAUUCAGAGAAAACACAAAAAAACAAAAGACAAUACUGCUACCUACCAUCUCAAAUGUGUAUGUGUUGAUGAAACUCAUGGGGAAUAUGCUGUCCAAAAAGAAGACUGUCAAAGCUUCUCUGUGCCUGUUCAUGUCCAGCAUAAGACUGACACCAAGCGUGAAGCUGUGGAGUGCGGUCAGAGUCAGCUGCUUGCACUAAAAGGUGGUCUUUCCAGUUUGUGUGAACACAUCCAAUCACUGGACAGUUGUGCAAACACUGCUACAGAUAAUUUCCUUAAAGCUGAAGUUCUUGAGGAGAUGUUGGCAUUUAGGGAGAUUUUGAAUUCUCAUUUAAGACCAUUAAAAGACCUUGUCAAAUGAGACUUGCAUCUGUCACAUUGUAUGUGUUUGUCACAAUUGUCUGUCCUAGUUCAUGUAUAUAAUGUUCUCUGUUUUCUAUGGCUGUACAAUUUCAGUUGAGCAGUGAAUUGGAUGUGUCAAAUAAAAACAGCACCGAUCAGUCA
Molecule: long non-coding RNA, 1238 nt
Filed under: Betta splendens (Siamese fighting fish)
Lineage: Eukaryota; Metazoa; Chordata; Actinopteri; Anabantiformes; Osphronemidae
Description: lncRNA (ENSBSLG00000011408.1)
Source: RNAcentral